CAAUAGCGUAUAUUAAAGUUGUUGCGGUUAAAAAGCUCGUAGUUGGAUUUCUGCUGAAGGCAGCCGGUCCAUGUUCGACAUGCGCAUCUGGAUUGACUUCGGCAUCCUCUCAGAUAACGAUUCUGUGCUUGAUUGCAUGGAGCGGAGUUUGAGACUUUUACUUUGAGGAAAAUAGAGUGUUCACGGCAGGCAAUCGCCCUGAAUAUAUUAGCAUGGAAUAAUAAAAUAGGAUCUUGGUUCUAUUUUGUUGGUUUCUAGAACGAAGAUAAUGAUUAAUAGGGACAAUUGGGGGCAUUCGUAUUAACGCGUCAGAGGUGGAAUUCUUGGAUUGCGUUACGACGAACUACUGCGAAAGCAUUUGCCAAGGAUGUUUUCAUUG
RNAcentral lists this ribosomal RNA (379 nucleotides) under uncultured eukaryote. RNAcentral's name for it is "partial 18S ribosomal RNA". It matches the Rfam family "Eukaryotic small subunit ribosomal RNA", at positions 592 to 975 of the family's 1831-position model. The record is from RNAcentral.